This 256-nucleotide ribosomal RNA is filed under the name uncultured bacterium. RNAcentral's name for it is "partial 16S ribosomal RNA". It matches the Rfam family "Bacterial small subunit ribosomal RNA", at positions 524 to 776 of the family's 1533-position model. The record is from RNAcentral.
UACGGAGGGGCUAGCGUUGUUCGGAAUUACUGGGCGUAAAGCGCGCGUAGGCGGACCUGCAAGUCGGGGGUGAAAGCCCGAGGCUCAACCUCGGAACUGCCUUCGAUACUGCGGGUCUCGAGUCCGGGAGAGGUGAGUGGAAUUCCUAGUGUAGAGGUGAAAUUCGUAGAUAGUUAGGAAGAACACCAGUGGCGGAAGGCGGCUCACUGGCCCGGUACUGGACGCUGAGGCACGGAAAGCGUGGGGAGCAAACAGG